RNAcentral lists this ribosomal RNA (1296 nucleotides) under uncultured bacterium. Its description in RNAcentral is "bacterial SSU rRNA". It matches the Rfam family "Bacterial small subunit ribosomal RNA", at positions 173 to 1482 of the family's 1533-position model. The record is from RNAcentral.
ACGACAUCGCUGGGCAUCCGGCGGUGUGGAAAGUUUUUCGGUUGGGGAUGGGCUCGCGGCCUAUCAGCUUGUUGGUGGGGUGAUGGCCUACCAAGGCGACGACGGGUAGCCGGCCUGAGAGGGCGACCGGCCACACUGGGACUGAGACACGGCCCAGACUCCUACGGGAGGCAGCAGUGGGGAGUAUUGCACAAUGGGCGAAAGCCUGAUGCAGCGACGCCGCGUGAGGGAUGAAGGCCUUCGGGUUGUAAACCUCUUUCAGCAGGGAAGAAGCGAGAGUGACGGUACCUGCAGAAGAAGCGCCGGCUAACUACGUGCCAGCAGCCGCGGUAAUACGUAGGGCGCAAGCGUUGUCCGGAUUUAUCGGGCGUAAAGAGCUCGUAGGCGGUCUGUCGCGUCUGCUGUGAAAACCUGGGGCUUAACCCCGGGCCUGCAGUGGGUACGGGCAGACUAGAGUGCGGUAGGGGAGACUGGAAUUCCUGGUGUAGCGGUGAAAUGCGCAGAUAUCAGGAGGAACACCGGUGGCGAAGGCGGGUCUCUGGGCCCGUAACUGACGCUGAGGAGCGAAAGCGUGGGUAGCGAACAGGAUUAGAUACCCUGGUAGUCCACGCCGUAAACGUUGGGCGCUAGGUGUGGGGCUCAUUCCACGAGUUCCGUGCCGCAGCAAACGCAUUAAGCGCCCCGCCUGGGGAGUACGGCCGCAAGGCUAAAACUCAAAGGAAUUGACGGGGCCCCGCACAAGCGGCGGAGCAUGCGGAUUAAUUCGAUGCAACGCGAAGAACCUUACCAAGGCUUGACAUACAGGGAAAUCCCACAGAGAUGUGGGGUCCGCAAGGGUCCUGUACAGGUGGUGCAUGGUUGUCGUCAGCUCGUGUCGUGAGAUGUUGGGUUAAGUCCCGCAACGAGCGCAACCCUCGUCCUAUGUUGCCAGCGGGUCAUGCCGGGGACUCAUAGGAGACUGCCGGGGUCAACUCGGAGGAAGGUGGGGAUGACGUCAAAUCAUCAUGCCCCUUAUGUCUUGGGCUUCACGCAUGCUACAAUGGCCAGUACAAAGGGCUGCGAGACCGCAAGGUGGAGCGAAUCCCAAAAAGCUGGUCUCAGUUCGGAUUGGGGUCUGCAGCUCGACCCCAUGAAGUCGGAGUCGCUAGUAAUCGCAGAUCAGCAACGCUGCGGUGAAUACGUUCCCGGGGCUUGUACACACCGCCCGUCACGUCACGAAAGUCGGUAACACCCGAAGCCGGUGGCCUAACCCCUUGUGGGAGGGAGCUGUCGAAGGUGGGACUGGCGAUUGGGACG